Cercocebus atys (sooty mangabey) is the source of this 371-nucleotide long non-coding RNA. RefSeq lists it as uncharacterized. The transcript is spliced from 3 exons. NCBI's taxonomy places the organism in Eukaryota, Metazoa, Chordata, Mammalia, Primates, Cercopithecidae. The record is from RefSeq and is a predicted model, not a curated record.
CACCCGUGGUGCGGAGGCCCGUGCUGCAGUCCAUGCCUCGCACCGUCACGAUGAGCAGCGCAUGCGAGCGGGAGCUGUGCUCGUUGAGCUCCUCCACCGCAUUCAGCUGACGCAGAGAUCUCACUCCACAAUGCAAUGAGCCCUGUGGGCAGGGCCCCCAGCUGCCCACUCUCACCCACGGCCACCUGGUGCAGCCCACAGGAAGACCCCACUUCCUAUCCCCCAUUCUCCAGCACCACUCCAGAGGACCCCAAAACUGCCCCUGAGGCCUGCUCCCCACAUGCUGGGGCUCCCACCUGAGGACCUCGUUCCAGCACCACCCCGGAGGACCCCAAAGCUGCCCCUGAGGCCUGCUCUGCACACCCUGAGGC